AUGAGCCAGAGAGUGGAGGAGAUGAACGAGCAGAAUCAGACUAUGGCCGAUCUGAUGAAGCAGCUGCUCGCGAAGUUCAAGGAUUUGAAGGGGGCGGUGGCGGAGUUGAAAGAGGAGCAAGCCCAGACAAAGGCGGCCAUGGAAGCAGCACAGAUCAAUGGGGGCGGCGGUGCGUCCACGUCGCCGGAGGGGCCGGCCACCGUCGACAUCAGGACGGCCUCGACCAGGGGGCCGCCGCCCGCAAGCAACCAGGACGCGGGGCCUGGGGUCGAGCAGCCGGAGAUCGACUGCGGAGGAGUGAGCGCUCCAUCUCCAAGGGCUGCACCGGUGCCGUCCACGCACCUGCUGCGCCCGCAUCAGGAUCGAGCCGCCGCCGACCACUACCACCUCGGGCGUGCUGGAUUCGGGUCAAGUGACCGCCGCGACGCCCAUCUCUUCCGGGGUGAUGCUCCUGGGCUCUUGGGAGCCGGGAUGCGUGCCCCGGUCACAGGUGCACCCAAUCAUAGUGUCUCAAUUCCGGGUCGCAAUUUUGGGGGAGGAGAGCAUGGGUAUGAAGAUGAUAGGACAUAUCGUGAGCAUUGGGGGCGUCCACCAGGAUCGCACACACCCAAAAUGGAAUUCCCUAAGUUUGAUGGGGGAAAUCCUAAGCUCUGGCAGCAACAAUGUGAAGUUUAUUUUGAGUUGUUUAGAGUCCAGGAGAGCUUCAAAACUCGCUAUGGUAUGCUGAACUUUCGGGGUACAGCUGCCUUGUGGUGGCAGAAUGUUGAAGCCCAGGGCCGCAUAGAUAAUUGGCCAACUAUGUGCAGUUUGGUGCAGGAGAAGUUUGGGAAGAACAAGUAUGCCAAUUACCGUAGACAAUUGCAUGCUCUUAGGCAAACUGGUAGUGUAGCUGAGUACUAUGAGCAUUUUGAGCAACUAAGGCCUCAAUUUUGCUUUACAAUUCCAACUUAG
RNAcentral lists this ribosomal RNA (951 nucleotides) under Triticum aestivum (bread wheat). RNAcentral describes it as "partial small subunit ribosomal RNA". Lineage: Eukaryota; Viridiplantae; Streptophyta; Magnoliopsida; Poales; Poaceae. The record is from RNAcentral.